This 468-nucleotide ribosomal RNA is filed under the name uncultured bacterium. Its description in RNAcentral is "partial 16S ribosomal RNA". It matches the Rfam family "Bacterial small subunit ribosomal RNA", at positions 28 to 507 of the family's 1533-position model. The record is from RNAcentral.
GACGAACGCUGGCGGCGUGCUUAACACAUGCAAGUCGAACGGAAAGGCCCUGCUUUUGUGGGGUGCUCGAGUGGCGAACGGGUGAGUAACACGUGAGUAACCUGCCCUUGACUUUGGGAUAACUUCAGGAAACUGGGGCUAAUACCGGAUAGGAGCUCCUGCUGCAUGGUGGGGGUUGGAAAGUUUCGGCGGUUGGGGAUGGACUCGCGGCUUAUCAGCUUGUUGGUGGGGUAGUGGCUUACCAAGGCUUUGACGGGUAGCCGGCCUGAGAGGGUGACCGGCCGCAUUGGGAAUGAGAUGCAGCUCAGGCGGCUGCGGGAGGCAGCAGCGGGGAAUGGUGCACAAGGGGCGGAAGGCUGGUGCAGCGACGCCGCGUGCGAGAAGACGGGCUUCGGGUUGUAGACCGAUUAAGCCGGUGGCGAAGCGUGCGUGUCGGUGAUGGGUAAGAAAGCACCGGCUAGCUAGGUG